AGAGUUUGAUCCUGGCUCAGGACGAACGCUUGCGGCGUGGAUAAGAAAUGCAAGUCGAGCGAGGUUGAGGCUUCGGCCAAAAACCUAGCGGCGAACGGUCGCGUAACACGUAAGCAACCUGCCCCAAAGCGGGGGACAACGGGCCGAAAGGCCCGCUAAUACCGCAUGUGGCCCGCGGAUCGCCUGUUCCGCGGUCUAAAGAUUCCCGGCAACGGGUUUCGCUUGGGGAUGGGCUUGCGGCCUAUCAGCUAGUCGGCGGGGUGACGGCCCACCGAGGCUUUGACGGGUAGCUGGUCUGAGAGGACGGUCAGCCGGAUUGGGACUGAGAUACGGCCCAGACUCCUACGGGGGGCAGCAAUUAGGAAUCUUGCGCAAUGGGGGCAACCCUGACGCAGCGACGCCGCGUGCGGGACGAAGGCAUUCGUGUCGUAAACCGCUUUUGGGGGGGAAGAAAGGCCUUCGGGCUAUGACGGUACCCCCCGAAUAAGCCCCGGCUAACUACGUGCCAGCAGCCGCGGUAAUAC
RNAcentral lists this ribosomal RNA (524 nucleotides) under uncultured bacterium. RNAcentral describes it as "bacterial SSU rRNA". It matches the Rfam family "Bacterial small subunit ribosomal RNA", at positions 8 to 526 of the family's 1533-position model. The record is from RNAcentral.